This 208-nucleotide ribosomal RNA is filed under the name uncultured bacterium. RNAcentral describes it as "partial 16S ribosomal RNA". It matches the Rfam family "Bacterial small subunit ribosomal RNA", at positions 568 to 774 of the family's 1533-position model. The record is from RNAcentral.
CUCGUAGGCGGCUUGUCGCGUCGACUGUGAAAACCCACAGCUCAACUGUGGGCUUGCAGCCGAUACGGGCAGGCUAGAGUUCGGUAGGGGAGACUGGAAUUCCUGGUGUAGCGGUGAAAUGCGCAGAUAUCAGGAGGAACACCGGUGGCGAAGGCGGGUCUCUGGGCCGAUACUGACGCUGAGGAGCGAAAGCGGUGGGGAGCGAACA